This 216-nucleotide microRNA precursor is filed under the name Paramuricea clavata. The record is from RNAcentral. Lineage: Eukaryota; Metazoa; Cnidaria; Anthozoa; Malacalcyonacea; Plexauridae.
UCCAUUGUUGCGUUUUUCAUACGUACGUAUACGCACGUCAAACUUUAAAUCCGUUUAAAUGUUACCUAUGAAAUAACCAAAUAAAUAAGGCAACAUAAUUUAGUGUUCCGCAAGUUUUAGUAUGUGCAUUUGUUAACUAAUUUGUAAAAUAUUUAAAAAUAGAAGGAUUCAAAGUUUUACGUGCGUGUACGUGCGUAUGAAAAACGCAACAGUGGA